UUCUGGUUGAUCCUGCCGGACCUGACUGCUAUCGGAUUGAUACUAAGCCAUGCGAGUCAUUGUAGCAAUACAAGGCAUACGGCUCAGUAACGCGUAGUCAACCUAACCUAUGGACGGGAAUAACCUCGGGAAACUGAGAAUAAUGCCCGAUAGAACAUUAUACCUGGAAUGGUUUAUGUUCCAAAUGAUUUAUCGCCGUAGGAUGGGACUGCGGCCUAUCAGUUUGUUGGUGAGGUAAUGGCCCACCAAGACUAUUACAGGUACGGGCUCUGAGAGGAGUAGCCCGGAGAUGGGUACUGAGACACGGACCCAGGCCCUAUGGGGCGCAGCAGGCGAGAAAACUUUGCAAUGUGCGAAAGCACGACAAGGUUAAUCCGAGUGGUUUCUGCUAAAGGAACCUUUUGUCAGUCCUAGAAACACUGAUGAAUAAGGGGUGGGCAAGUUCUGG
Molecule: ribosomal RNA, 448 nt
Filed under: uncultured marine group I thaumarchaeote
Lineage: Archaea; Thermoproteati; Nitrososphaerota
Description: bacterial SSU rRNA
Rfam family: Archaeal small subunit ribosomal RNA
Source: RNAcentral